This 270-nucleotide ribosomal RNA is filed under the name uncultured bacterium. Its description in RNAcentral is "partial 16S ribosomal RNA". It matches the Rfam family "Bacterial small subunit ribosomal RNA", at positions 28 to 283 of the family's 1533-position model. The record is from RNAcentral.
GAUAAACGCUGGCGGCGUGCCUAACACAUGCAAGUCGAACGUCCUCUGCUUGCUUCGGCAAGGAGAGGGAGUGGCGGACGGGUGAGUGACCCAUGGGUGACCUACCCCCAAGUGAGGGAUACCGGCGAGAAAUCGCCGACAAACCCGCAUCAGGUCUCUCUGGUGAAGCGGAGAGAGCAAAGGUUGACUCGCGAGAGUGAGCCGCUUAGGGAUGGGCCUGUGGCCGAUUAGCUAGUUGGUGGGGUAAGAGCCUACCAAGGCCACGAUCGG